UGUGUAGGCAAUAAAUGCAGUCGGAGGUAGCACAGAGGACCUGGUUCCUCGUGUGACGAGUGGCGCACGGGUGAGUAGUGUGGGGAGAUCUGCCCGAUAGAGGGAGAUAACCUGUGGAAACGGUGGCUAAUACCGCAUAACCUCACAAGACCAAAGAGGGGGAUCUUCGGCCCUCUCACUAUCAUAAGCCCCCAUAUGGUAUUAUCUAGUGCGGGGUGUAACGGCCCACCUACGACAAUAUCCCUAUGUGGUCUGAGAAGAUGACCACCCACUGUGGAUCUGACACACGGUCCACACUCCUACGGGGGGCAACUGUGGGGAAUAUUGCACAGUGGGCGCACGCCUGAUGCACCCGUGCCGCGUGUAUGAAAAGCGUCUUCGGUUUGUAAAGUAUUUUCCGCGGAGAAGAGGGCUGUGAUGUUAAUACCCUUAGUGAUUGAUUUUACCCGCAAAAAAAGCCCCGGAUAUCUCCGUGCCAACACCCGCGGUAAUACAGAGGGUGCACGCGUAACUCAAAAUCAGUGCGCGAAACGCACACGCGCGCGCUCUGAUAUCUCAUAUGUAAUAUCCGGGCUCUUAAUGUGGAAUCUGCUUUAGACACGGGCGCGCUUGACUCUCAUAGAGGGGGGUAGAAUUCCGUGUGUAGCGGAGAAGUGCAUAGAGAUCUAGAAGAACACGUGUGGAAAGCGCGGCCCUGUGCACGAACACUGACUCUCGUGUGCAAAAGCGUGGAGAGCACACGAGAAUAUACACUGUGAUACUACACGGCAUACAAUGUCUCCUCGUGGGGGGUGCUCUCGUGAAGAGUGUUCCGGAGAUAUCACGUGAUAACUCCAGCGUGUGGGAGUACACGGCGCAAGGAUAACACUCAUGAGAAGAGACGGGCCCCGCACACGCUGGUAGAACAUGUGGUAUAAUUCUGUACAC
This 927-nucleotide ribosomal RNA is filed under the name uncultured prokaryote. RNAcentral describes it as "bacterial SSU rRNA". It matches the Rfam family "Bacterial small subunit ribosomal RNA", at positions 40 to 959 of the family's 1533-position model. The record is from RNAcentral.